AUUGAACGCUGGCGGCAUGCCUAACACAUGCAAGUCGAGCGAGCGGCGGACGGGUGAGUAACGUCUGGGUACUUCCCUAUAGAGGGGGGAUACUACUGGAAACGGUAGCUUAUUCCGCAUAUUAUCGUAUUACCCAUAUGGGAUUAGCUAGUAGGUGGGGUAAUGGAUCACAUAGGCGACCAUCCCUAGCUGGGCUGAGAGGCUGAUCAGCCACACUGGGACUGAGACACGGCCCAGACUCCUACGGAGGCAGCAGUGGGGAAUAUUGCACAAUGGGCGCAAGCCUGAUGCAGCCAUGCCGCGUGUAUGAAGAAGGCCCUAGGGUUGUAAAGUACUUUCAGUCGGGAGGCGUUACCGACAGAGGAAGCACCGGCUAACUCCGUGCCAGCAGCCGCGGUAAUAC
Molecule: ribosomal RNA, 403 nt
Filed under: uncultured bacterium
Lineage: Bacteria
Description: partial 16S ribosomal RNA
Rfam family: Bacterial small subunit ribosomal RNA
Source: RNAcentral